This 72-nucleotide transfer RNA is filed under the name Camelus bactrianus (Bactrian camel). It matches the Rfam family "tRNA". Rfam says of the family: Transfer RNA (tRNA) molecules are approximately 80 nucleotides in length. Their secondary structure includes four short double-helical elements and three loops (D, anti-codon, and T loops). RNAcentral also lists the same sequence under 3 other names. Lineage: Eukaryota; Metazoa; Chordata; Mammalia; Artiodactyla; Camelidae. The record is from Rfam by way of RNAcentral.
GAGGGUAUAGCUCAGGGGCAGAGUGCCUGCUUAGCAUGCACAAGGUCCUGGGUUCAAUCCCCAGUAUCUACA